GUGGCAACAUCAUUUUGGGGGCCAUUUUCCUAAGGAAAGGAGGAAAAUCGGUCAAUAGGGUAGAAAGGGAUGAGAGAUGGAUGGAAAUGAAGAGGAGAGGAGGGUUUAAGAGUGUUUUUCACAGAUUUUGCAGGUUAGGAUUUGAAAUUUGGUGGAGAUCAGGAAGGUAAGUCGUGAGAGGGAGAGAGAUUGCUUAAGGAUUUAGGAUGACAGUCUAAGGUUUUGUGUGGUUUUAACAUCGGUG
This 244-nucleotide long non-coding RNA is filed under the name Elaeis guineensis (African oil palm). RNAcentral describes it as "long non-coding RNA (EGUI_LNC015328)". Lineage: Eukaryota; Viridiplantae; Streptophyta; Magnoliopsida; Arecales; Arecaceae. The record is from RNAcentral.